GCCCGCCUGAGUGCCUCUGAGAACACGCAGCACGGUGCUCCCUGUGCAGUGCUCCCUGUGCGUGGGCUUCGAGCUAAACACUCGAUUUCAGGUAGGGGCUCCUGCAGGGACCAGCUGUGUGACCUGGGGCAAGUGGCUCCACCUCUCUGUGCUCCUCAGGAGGCUGCAGCAGGCUUUGCUGGAACCCGGGUCAUAGCCCUGCUUGUUGGGGUCGACGGCUGGCCGCUCCUGCUGGUCGCCCACUAGCUGCGUGACUUUAAGCAGGACACUUAACCCAUCACUCGUUUGUGAAAGGGGGUACUGACAUCUACCGCCAAGGGCCCUGAGGAGGUUAUAAUGACCCUAGGCCUGUAAAAUGCUUGGCGGGGUACCAGCCACUUCCAAACAUGGGGCUCCUCUUGGGUCAGCCGUGAGGCUGAGUCUGCUUCCGGGCCCCAAUACCGCCUCAUCUCCUCCCAUCUGACCACCUGCCUGACGCGCCCCUCCCCCAGACAUCGAUGAGUGCCAGGUGCCCCCCGGACAGGCCCCUCCCUGCGACCACCACUGCCAUAACCACCUGGGUGGCUUCUACUGCUCCUGCCGCAGGGGCUACGUGCUCCACGAGAACAAGCGCACCUGCUCAGCUCCCUCUCAUGGGUCUUCAGCCCAUUAUUUGAAUCACAUUGUGUUGGGCCCCCACUAUGUACCUACCCUGUCUGGGCUCUGGACCCCUGAUACAGCCACCUCGCCCUCCUUGGGCUCCCAGAGCAGAGCCCCUAGCCUCACUUCUAGCUCCGGUCUGGGUCGGGCCGAGAUUGCUGCUGCCUGCAGCCCCCCAUCCACCCCAUCCACCCCUCUGUGGACCUAACAAUAAAGCUGCCUCCACCUCCAUCUACUGCUCGUGUCUCUUGGGUGGCACGGUGGGGAGAGGGCAGUGGUG
Molecule: long non-coding RNA, 919 nt
Filed under: Ursus maritimus (polar bear)
Lineage: Eukaryota; Metazoa; Chordata; Mammalia; Carnivora; Ursidae
Description: lncRNA (ENSUMAG00000023731.1)
Source: RNAcentral